Pelobates cultripes (western spadefoot toad) is the source of this 250-nucleotide non-coding RNA. The record is from the annotation of a GenBank genome assembly. Lineage: Eukaryota; Metazoa; Chordata; Amphibia; Anura; Pelobatidae.
UUAUAGUUGCGCAGGCAUUUUGGUGACUCUAGAGAACCUCGGGCCAAUCGCACGUCCCCGUGACAGCGACAACGCAUUCGGAUGUCUGCCCUAUCAACUUUCGAUAGACUUUCUGCGCCUACCAUGGUGACCAUGGGUAACGGGGAAUCAGGGUUCGAUUCCGGAGAGGGAGCCUGAGAGCGGCUACCACAUCCGAGGAAGGCAGCAGAUGCGCAAAUUACCCACUCCCGACGCGGGGAGGUAGUGAUGA